Molecule: long non-coding RNA, 797 nt
Organism: Cyprinus carpio carpio
Lineage: Eukaryota; Metazoa; Chordata; Actinopteri; Cypriniformes; Cyprinidae
Source: Ensembl
CCUCGUUUAAGCGUUCCAGCACCUCAACCUCAGCCCUCCUCCCGGAUCUCGUCUUCAUUCUGCUGAAGGGGUGUUGUCAGCCUUGAUUGCCCACAUCUCUUCCCCUACUGAAUCCCAAAACUCCUCUUCCCUCAUUAGUUUCCAGAGCUUCCUCUGCCUUCCAAAAGAGAAGCCCAGAUUAAUUCCCUGUGAACUGCCAAAACCAAUCACAGUCAGCGGAGCGGGGCACCUGGGGUGUUCCAAAUGAAAGUGGUUAUGUGAAUCCUUUCAGGAAGGGCCCUUCCAUAAGUCUAUUAGCGAAGGAUCCAUGCGAUGGUCAUUUCAAAGAUGUCAUUUUAUUGUUUAUUGUCAUGUGAUCCUGGGAGGCAUCUGUCCACUAAAUCCAGUUGGGAGGAUGGUGAUCGUAAGGGCUUUCUUGAUGAAGGUUGCAUGAAGAUCUUGAGAAAAAUGCAACAAUAUAAUUCUCACCACCUUGGAUUAGAAAGAAACAACCAGGAACUGCUGGAAAAAAAGAGGGACACUCCAAAUUCUGACUGUCACCACGAGAACUGCAAAUAUGUGCUCCAAACAACACGUGGCUCAGAAUUUCAAAACCCUUACAUUCUAGGAGGCAUAUCUGCAGCUGCAAGCCGCUGACAAACUCCAUCUUGUACAUCUGAGCCUGCAGAGAAGGGCGAGAGCGGUGAUAGAAUAUUGAUGCUCCUCUGGCAUGGGCCUCAUUCAAACCAAAUAGCUUUAUGUUAUUGUGACUGAUACAAUUUCACCGCGUGUACCUGCAUUAAAUUGACAUUCCCAAC